Molecule: ribosomal RNA, 468 nt
Filed under: uncultured bacterium
Lineage: Bacteria
Description: partial 16S ribosomal RNA
Rfam family: Bacterial small subunit ribosomal RNA
Source: RNAcentral
GACGAACGCUGGCGGCGUGCUUAACACAUGCAAGUCGAACGGAAAGGCCCUGCUUUUGUGGGGUGCUCGAGUGGCGAACGGGUGAGUAACACGUGAGUAACCUGCCCUUGACUUUGGGAUAACUUCAGGAAACUGGGGCUAAUACCGGAUAGGAGCUCCUGCUGCAUGGUGGGGGUUGGAAAGUUUCGGCGGUGGGGGAUGGACUCGCGGCUUAUCAGCUUGUUGGUGGGGUAGUGGCUUAACAAGGCUUUGACGGGUAGCCGGCCUGAGAGGGUGACCGGCCACAUCGGGACUGAUAUACGGCCCAGACUCCUACGGGAGGCAGCAGUGGGGAAUAUUGCACAAUGGGCGGAAGCCUGAUGCAGCAACGCCGCGUGCGGGAUGACGGCCUUCGGGUUGUAAACCGCCUUCGCCUGUGACGAAGCGUGAGUGACGGUAAUGGGUAAAGAAGCACCGGCUAACUACGUG